Molecule: non-coding RNA, 1474 nt
Organism: Hypomesus transpacificus
Lineage: Eukaryota; Metazoa; Chordata; Actinopteri; Osmeriformes; Osmeridae
Source: the annotation of a RefSeq genome assembly
GGAACAGGACAACAUGGGUCAUGUAUCUGUGUUACUUCACACGUUAUUCAUUCAGCAGAUGCUUUAAUCCAAAAUGACAUAUAAACACUACAUUUAGACCCUAAAUUUAACCCUAACAGCAGAUCAAGGAUCUGAAUUACAGUAUUCUAACUUCAUUUCAGGGGUUAGUCAAGGAACAGUCUGUAUUUACCAGGCACAAUGCAAAGUAACAUCUCAGUUCAACAAUAAUAUAUAUCCACUACAGGACACUACAGGAUAUCUCAAGUACAAUAUGACAUAGUCCAAUCACCAAUACCAUCUCAACUAUAUUACAUAGUACAAGCAACAAAACCAUCUCAACUAUAUUACAUAGUACAAGCAACAAAACCUUCUCAACUAUAUUACAUAGUACAAGCAACAAUAACAUCUCAACCAUAUUACAUGGUAGUGCAACAAUAACAUUUCAAGGACAACAUUACUGUUGCCUUACUAUGUGAAAUGUGCCCUUGGGUGUCUUGAAAGGCACAGUAAAUGUAAGUUAUUAUCAUUAGUGUAGUACAACAAUAACGUGUCAACGACAAUAGAGGGAGCCCAGAUGCUGUCAUGUGGAGUAUGUGGUUAAGGAUUAAACAUCUCUAUCUGGUGACUGUGAGUCUCUCUACAGACAGCAGAGGUGUCUAACUGUGAGUCUCUCUACAGACAGCAGAGGUGUCUAACUGUGAGUCUCUACAGACAGCAGAGGUGUCUAACUGUGAGUCUCUACAUACAGCAGAAGUGUCUAACUGUGAGUCUCUCUACAUACAGCAGAAGUGUCUAGCUGUGAGUCUCUCUACAGACAGCAGAAGUGUCUAACUGUGAGUCUCCAGACCUGCUGAUGCCCUCGUGGCCAUGAUUGUUCUGAGAUGUCUCGGUUUCUUCAUCUUAUUUCCAUGUGCUGUGAAGAGCGUGACCUUCCAGCAGUCUCCGUCUGUCAUGGUUACAGAGAACGCCAGCGUAGAAAUCUUGUGUAGCCAUGACGACAACAGCUUGUUGGUCAUGCUGUGGUACCAGCAGCGACCUGUCUCUCGGGAUAUGACCCUCAUCGGGUACGGUUAUGCCUCCUCCGAGCCCAGCUACGAGGGUCAGUUCCAGGAGAGCUUCCAGCUCACCAGAGAGGACACCCUGAGAGGAGCGCUCCUCCUCCCCCGCGCAGCUCCUGCAGACUCGGCCGUGUAUUUCUGUGCUGCCAGUACACAGUGAUGUGGCUUGAUGCCACCGCCUCACCAAAACCCUGGCCUAUCCUCAGAUUCAUGUCCAACAGUACCCCUACCAAGCACCAACCCUCAGACCCUAACACAGCAAGACCCUGCAUUACUACAUUCAUGUCACUGAUCCAUCACCUCACUGCACCAGACACAAGAGCCACAGGGCACCACAAAGCAAGAGCUAGUCUCCAAGCAACACCGACUAUUGGUCACGUGACCUGCCGGUUGGUUUACUGUGAACUGGUGAGACC